This 490-nucleotide ribosomal RNA is filed under the name Actinomyces sp. oral taxon 177. RNAcentral's name for it is "bacterial SSU rRNA". It matches the Rfam family "Bacterial small subunit ribosomal RNA", at positions 28 to 493 of the family's 1533-position model. Lineage: Bacteria; Bacillati; Actinomycetota; Actinomycetes; Actinomycetales; Actinomycetaceae. The record is from RNAcentral.
GACGAACGCUGGCGGCGUGCUUAACACAUGCAAGUCGAACGGGCCUUGUCCCCUUUUUUUUUGGGGGUGGGGUUAGUGGCGAACGGGUGAGUAACACGUGAGUAACCUGCCCCUCACUUCUGGAUAACCGCUUGAAAGGGUGGCUAAUACGGGGUGUUCUGGCCUGCUCGCAUGGGUGGGUUUGGAAAGAUUCGACCGGUUUUGGUGUUUUUGGUGGGGGAUGGGCUCGCGGCCUAUCAGCUUGUUGGUGGGGUGAUGGCCUACCAAGGCGGUGACGGGUAGCCGGCCUGAGAGGGUGGACGGUCACACUGGGACUGAGACACGGCCCAGACUCCUACGGGAGGCAGCAGUGGGGAAUAUUGCACAAUGGGCGCAAGCCUGAUGCAGCGACGCCGCGUGAGGGAUGGAGGCCUUCGGGUUGUAAACCUCUUUCGCCAGUGAAGCAGGCCUGCUCCUUGUGGGUGGGUUGACGGUAGCUGGAAAGAAGCGC